GGCGUCCUUGUAAGAGAGUGUACGGUCGGGAUUCGUCUACAGCUCUCCUUUGUCCUAAAUUCAGAAUUGAAAUAAAAAGGAAGAAGAAGAAGAAGAAUCCUGAGAAAAACGCACCCUUUUUACGAUUACGCCGCCUUGUCUACGCCCUGACGAAAUAGACUAAACGCCCGCUUCCUUCUCCCGAGCCAGAGCCAGAGUCAGAGCCUAAGUUCGAUUCCUGGGGCAAAACUGAUCUCAGCUUACCCCCAGUGACGCUGUCUCACUCCUCCGAUCAAAAAAAGUUUUGCUCUUUUCGAUUCCCGAUCCUCCCGAUGUCGAAAAGAAUCCUUUGUAAGUUCUUUGCGCACGGAGCUUGCUUAAAAGGAGACAACUGUGAGUUCUCACAUGACUGGAAGGAUCCUUCAAAUAAUAUUUGCACUUUCUACCAGAGAGGCAACUGCUCUUACGGAAGCAGAUGCAGGUACGAACAUGUCAAACCUUCUCGCCCUCCUCCUGCUUCCUCCUCCGCUCUGCUGCCUCCUGGCACCUACCUAUCUUCCGAAAGGGGUUUAACCUCAGCCCCCUCUGCAUCAUCACCACCACCACCAGCGUGGACUUUGGAUUCCUUAGACGACCAGGCCAACAACAACAACAACACUGGUCCAACCAACCCAGAAGACAAACCCAUCUGCUCAUACGCCGCGGCCGGAGACUGCCCACGCGGCGACCAGUGCCCUCACAUCCACGGAGACCUCUGCCCGACUUGCGCCAAACGCUGCCUGCAUCCCUUCAGACCAGAGGAGCGCGAGGAGCACAAGAAAGCGUGCGAGAAGAAACACAAGCAGCUCGAAGCGUUGAAGCUUAGCCAGGACGUGGAGUGCUGCGUCUGCUUGGAGCGUGUGCUCUCUAAGCCCACUCCAGCCGAACGCAAGUUCGGGCUGCUCACCGAGUGUGAUCACGCUUUCUGCAUAGGAUGCAUCAGGAACUGGCGCAGCAGCUCUCCUUCCACUGGGAUGGAUGUCAACAGCACGCUGAGGGCUUGCCCCAUAUGCCGCAAGCUCUCCUACUUCGUUGUCCCUAGUGUCAUCUGGUUCUCGGAUCCUGAAGAGAAAAAGGAGAUCAUGGACAACUACAGGGACAAGCUCAGGUCAAUUGAUUGUAAGCACUUCAAUUUCGGAGAUGGGAACUGUCCGUUCGGAACAAGUUGCUUCUACAAGCACACUGUGAAGCCAGGGUCAUAUGCAUGGAAAUACCACAGGCCACCUCCAAGGCGUCCGAGUCCCUCCUCCGCUGGGUCUAACUACUCAGACAUUAGUACAUUUUUUAAUAUGAUGGAGAACAUUAUGUCAGAAGGAGAGUAUGGUCCUUUUGGAUUUGAAGAUUCGGAUGAUGACGAUGAUGAUGAAAUGACUUCAACGGAUAUGAUGAUGUUACUGAUGAACUUGGAUGUGGACUCCGAUGAGGAGGAUAGCUAUUAACAUGUUUUUAAAGUUUACUAAUUAAACAUGCAUUUCAUGAUGGUCGUUUGGAGGAAGUGGUUCUAAGGCAUCUGGAUGCAGAAGAUGGGCAGACUGUGAUAGCUAAAGAGAUAAGGUUGUCUGACUUUCUUGAGAAUAUGCGCAUAUGAAUCAAAGACUGUUUUGGCACAAUAAAGAUGUUUUGAUGAACACCUCUCUUUCUCUCUUUUUGUUGGAUUUUUUUUUGUGCACAUUCAUUACAAUUUGACUGAUUCGAGUUGGAAGACAUCAAUGCUUUGUGACCUGCAGUGAGACUGAAUCAUUUGUACUCAUUUUUUGUAUUUAUAACAAAUAUUACAACUUUGAGGACAAAGUAGCUGUGAA
Raphanus sativus (radish) is the source of this 1820-nucleotide RNA transcript. It is a transcript of the gene named putative RING-type E3 ubiquitin transferase C3H69, with no coding region annotated. NCBI's taxonomy places the organism in Eukaryota, Viridiplantae, Streptophyta, Magnoliopsida, Brassicales, Brassicaceae. The record is from RefSeq and is a predicted model, not a curated record. The transcript has 7 exons.